RNAcentral lists this ribosomal RNA (274 nucleotides) under uncultured bacterium. Its description in RNAcentral is "partial 16S ribosomal RNA". It matches the Rfam family "Bacterial small subunit ribosomal RNA", at positions 523 to 796 of the family's 1533-position model. The record is from RNAcentral.
AUACGGAGGGUGCAAGCGUUGUCCGGAUUUAUUGGGUUUAAAGGGUGCGUAGGCGGAAAGCUAAGUCAGUGGUGAAAUACUACGGCUCAACCGUAGAACUGCCAUUGAAACUGGUUUUCUUGAGUAUAGUUGAGGUAGGCGGAAUUUAUGGUGUAGCGGUGAAAUGCAUAGAUACCAUAAAGAACACCGAUAGCGAAGGCAGCUUACUAAACUAUAACUGACGCUGAGGCACGAAAGCGUGGGUAGCGAACAGGAUUAGAAACCCGAGUAGUCC